Molecule: long non-coding RNA, 1154 nt
Filed under: Homo sapiens (human)
Lineage: Eukaryota; Metazoa; Chordata; Mammalia; Primates; Hominidae
Description: HSALNT0146706
Source: RNAcentral
GGAUGAAAAAAAAAAAAAAACUACUGCCUUUCAUUUCUCUACUCUUCCGACAACUCUGAGAACAAUGGUUCCUGAGAGUGACAAUAUCUGAGGAAAGAGCAGGUCCUGCAACCAACGAGAAAUUCUCCUGCAGCAUUUCAAAGCAGGCAAGAUGGAGAGUAUUUGAGCGGUCAAAUAGAGGAUAUGAGAAGAAAAAAAGAAUAACUUCUAUGUGGAAAAGGAUUGAGGUUGCUAACGUUUGAAGAAAAUGUACUACUGACACUUGGGGAUUGUAGAGCUUCUAUGGUGCCAAGAUAAUAUUCUGUGCUUGUAUUGCUAUUAUCUAAAUGCACAAUGGGAAUCGAUACCAUGCGUUUCUAACAUCCUUAAGGGCAAGGUAGUACACUCUAUGAAGGAUAUUGUGAUUACUGCCUGCACUGUGGAAAAAGCACAGAAGGAGACAAGAAAUACAAUAAUCUGUAAAACAAACUGAAGCCUAAUCAAAAGCACAGAUAACCUUGCAGAAGACAGACAAUGAUGGAAACCUCCUGACCCCUUCUACCUCUUCAUCAGAACCAAAAUUUACCUCUGUUUCCUCCUUACGCACUCUAAUAAUCUGCCAUGAGACGGGAUGUUAGAAGUUACAUCACAAGAGGAGGGAAUGAAGAAUUUGGUAGCACUGAGGUGCUGGAAGAGGGAUAGAGAGCACCGUGAGAGCGGUGUGGAGGAUUGCUGUAAUGUGACUGUGGAAGCCAAGCCAGGAGGAUGAGGUUCCAAGUGCAGUAACCUUGCUCAGGCACAAGAUGAUGGACUAGAGGAGGCACUCCCAAUCACUGUUACCCCAUGGACUCUGUAUGGUUAACAAAUAUCACUUAAAUUUAAAUUAAGCAGAUAAUUAAAAUAAGUUAUGUCUAUAACUGUGUGAGUUUGAUUACUUAAGGCUUUUAUUUGGGGGUGCUAUAGCAUCCUCCCUUUUCAUUGCAGAGUCACGGAAUAGGGUUACAGGGUUAUACUAUUAGUAAUAUAAAAGAAUUUCUGCACUUGAUUGUCAAUUAACAUCUCUUAGUAACCCUCCACUAAACAGGAAGCCCAGGGACCUAGAAUGUCCAGUAUGAGGGAGUGGGUAGGAAGUAGUAGUCUUCAUGCAGAAAUGCAUACCCAUUCAGAAAAGCGGC